ACAGGUCUUAUCAAAUCUCUGCUUCACAAAAAGAAAUUGAUACCCUAGAGGAGGCUGUCAUCCCGUCAGCAGAAGCCCUCCAUUUACUGGAUUUUGGCUUCAGUGAUUUUGAUAUGUCCCAGACUGCCAUGACUCAGGCCGUUAAGUAACCAGCCUCUAGCACAGCUGUAUGGUCACUCAUCGCUGGAGCACCAUCAUUAUGACAUGUGCCUUCUCAUUCUCAACAACCCUGUAAGAUCCAUCUGUACAUCCAUCUACCUGUCUGUCUGUUUAUCCAUAACAUCUACACAUCAACCCAUCCAUAACAUGCAUCCAUUUAUCCAUCUAUCAAUGACAUUCAUCCAUCCAUCUUGCUGUCCAGUCAUCUAUACAGUAGUAUCGAUAUCAUCCAUCCAUCCAUAGCAUCCAUCCAUCCAUAUAUCCGUAAUAUCCAUCCAUCUAUCAUCUUGUUGUCCAGUCGUCUAUCCAUCCAUAACAUCUAUCCAUUCAUAGCAACAUCCAUUCACCCAUCCAUCCAUAACAUCUAUUCAAAAACCAUCAAUCAUGUUGUCCUGUCAUCCAUUGUCUCCUUAGAUUCCAUCCAUCAAUCUGUUUGUCCACCCAUCUAGCUAUCUAUCUGGCCCUCAUACAGUUAUGAAUCCAUGUCCAUGUACAACGGUUUCAUACCUCUCACCCUUCUUC
Long non-coding RNA from Sinocyclocheilus anshuiensis, 681 nucleotides. RefSeq lists it as uncharacterized. The record is from RefSeq and is a predicted model, not a curated record. The transcript has 3 exons. NCBI's taxonomy places the organism in Eukaryota, Metazoa, Chordata, Actinopteri, Cypriniformes, Cyprinidae.